Long non-coding RNA from Meleagris gallopavo (turkey), 4462 nucleotides. RefSeq lists it as uncharacterized. Lineage: Eukaryota; Metazoa; Chordata; Aves; Galliformes; Phasianidae. The record is from RefSeq and is a predicted model, not a curated record.
CUAACCUGUAAGGGCGGAAAGAAACAACAUUAUUUAACACCUCAACAUAUCAAUUUCCUGUUUAGUUUGAUGGGCUGACUAUGAUUUACAGGGUUUCAUUAUGAGACUCAAUUAAAUAUAGAAUUUGUAAUAUUCAUGCAGUUCCUAUGCCAAAUAUACACAGUGCUGAUACAGCAGGGAUCUCAAAAUAUCAACCACCUGCUUGGGAGGAACAGAAUUACGAAUGCAUCUCCUUAAACAAUAAUUCAUCAUACUCAAAGCCUAAAGUUAAGCUCCUCCAGAGCCAACACAGCUGCUUUAUCUUAUCGAAGGGGUGCUGCUGACUUACAGUGCCUGUUAUCAUUCUUGUAACUCUUGACUAAGAAUGCAGUCAAGGAUUUGGAGGCCUGGGAAGCAGCGCUGAGUGUGGCAUGAAGGAUCCUGGCUUCUGGAUGGAAACCCAGAACUGUGAACUGCAUGUCCACGCUGCUCAUGCAAUGCACCAGGAAAGGAAAUCAGUCAGGUUAGGGAACUUUAGGGAAAACCUUUGCGUACCUCACUGAGAGCUGCAGGGAAAUUACCCGUCCCUCUCCUCAAGGAUCUUCUUCCUCGAACCCCUCCGCUAAAUAAAAAAGCUUGGAAGACUGAGGCUUCCCUAAGUGAGCUCAGAUGCAGUACCAGCUCACAAGUCCUUUAUCCCUUGGGAGGGAUGCUCUACUCAGAAGAACGAAGCUAAUUUGAAUCCUCAUGACUUGCUUAUAAGAGGGCUUUGAUCUGACAAGAUGUAGAUUUAGGAUUGUUAUUUUUCCAGACAGACUAUUGCUAUACAAGUGAGGCACGCUGGAAGCAGCUGAGCUUGGAGGACCUCCUUACAGUGUGGGGAUAUAUUUUCCUAGCAAAAAUGAGAUUUUUGAAUGUGAGUGGGGUUUGGGGGCUGCAGUAGCACUGCAGUAUGAUAGUGGCUUUAAGUCCAUUUUUGCUGCAAGGAGGCAGAAUCCUGCUGUGCUCCUUUCAGACAGGUGUUAGUCUAAUUGGUCCUUUAGAACUUACAUUUUACAGCUUCCCUUAGCAGCCAGGUUCACUGAUUAAGUAUUCUUCAUUAGGAAGCUUUUCCAGUCUCUAAUUUAAACCUUUACUUCGUGUGGAGCCAGGCACUUUCCUCCCCCCUUUGGUGACCAGGACAGUAUUUCAGAAGUACCUUCUCUGCACACGUUUUGAGAGUUAGGACUCUACUACCUCACCAUUUUGAAGCUCUACGCAUUCUCCACUUCCUUAUUCCUUAUAGAAAUGAAAAAUGUUUUCCUUCUUUCUAAUGCCUGCUGCUCUCCUGGAGUUAGGGUUGCCUCAGCCCUUCCUGUCCUUUUCUCACUGACUCAGCUCGUUUCAGGAUGGCUGCUCUGUGAAGUGGCCAUUGGAAGCUCUCAGCCAGCAGUGGGGCUGUCAUGGUGUUAAUGAAUCUUGCUAAACAAUUUAGACAUCCUGUGAUAAAAACCACCAGAGGAAUUUCAAGCAGCCAGAGUACAAGCAAUUCGAACACUGCAAAUACAAGCUGUUGAGAAAUAUCAAUAUUAUCAGUAGUAUCCUUGCUUUAAGACAUCAGCUAUUUAUCUCUGGCAGGCUUGCCUUAUUGCUCUUUCCAAGACUGUCUGCUGGGAACCCAGUCCUGACCCAGUGCUCUUCCAGCCAUGGGAUGGAUGUGUUGGUACAGCUCAGAAGGACGUGGGCACCUCUGCCAGCUCACAUCUAGACACCACGUUGAGCCAAAUAGCUCAGGAGUGUUUGUAUUAAAGAAAACACACACUUUUGAGAAGGCUGGGACCGCCCUCUUAUCAUGAGGAAAUAAACCUGAGGGCUUUAACAAAUCAGGGCAAGGAAGAGUGUUUUCAUCUGAACUAAUGUUGCCCGAAGCAUAAAAAUAAACGUAGGGCUGUUUUCAGACAUAACAACAGGCUCAGGAUAGUCUGAAAACACAGCAAGAAGACUUAAGAAUUUGAGAUUACAAGCCAGUUUGCUUAUCUCAUCCAAAAACAUCUUAUAAUCAGCAUUUUCAUCUCAUCAACCAUCUCUUCUUACCUUUUGUUCCAAAACAGUGCUGCAGGCUUGGUUCUGGGAUGGCUCUUCAGCAUCAGCAAUGUCUGCCUUCCCCAUUUGACAGAAGCUCCGUUGCAGUGAUGCAGAAAAUUAAUCGGGGCAUUAUAUUUCCUUUGUAUCCAGACCUAAAUACUGUUUCUAUGGCUGCAAACAUAGUAAUUCUUGAAUGAAUGGAACAAAGUCAGACUCCUUCUGCGUGAUUUCUGAAGCUGAUAGCAAAAUCAACCAUGAAGGGGCAUAGACAGAAAAGCUGCUUCAUUCUAACCUUAUUGGGAAAAAGUUCUUUGCACCAAUUAGAGAGAUUACAGUGCUCAGGGUGAUGCAGAGAACUAAGUAAUCAGGCAGAUACGCUACCCGGAUGUCACUUAAUCAGACAAGAGGAAGCAGUGCCCACGGUGAGUGCAGAACGCUCCAUGGGAUGUGCAUCACCUCACGUGUUAAUUUCCUAUUCCUACAUUCACCUCUUCUGCGGCCUUCCCUCCAGCCUCUGCCCAUGAGCAGCUCUGGCAUGCACGAGUCCCUCCUGUGCUGGGUGGAAGGAGCUCUCGGCCCGUGGCCACGUGUGCCCAGGAUGCUGCAGUCGUGCAUGGGCUCACUGGGCUGCAGCACAGUGGUGAAAUAGUGACGCGGCAGGAGGAAGAAUGUGGGUUCUUGUUUUCAGCUUCACUCAUUGCAAAUCUCUGCGGGGCAUGUCAUGGGAGAACUGGCACGUCACUGAAGACACAGAAAGAAAGAAUGCCAGAAAAGAGGUGGAAAUCAGAAAAGCCUAAGCAUCACCUCUGCUCCGAUGUAAGGCUUUAAGAAUAAUAGCUGUGCUAAGGUUUAUAGAAGUCAUUAAAAUCCCUUUGUGAUACUUGAACUCUGCUACUGAAAAAUAGUUGUUUCCACCCAGAGCUAAUAAAUAGAUGUUUGAAGCGCAAGCUGAGCUAAUGUGAAUUCAUGCUCAGCUGUGCGUGUCAUGUUUGGAUGUAAACACCCUUUUCACAUUGUGCCAUACCACCCCAGUGCUGCUGUGCUUUUCAUGUAUCUCUGUGGUAUUUACAUCUCAGCUAUCAUUUGAUAGCUUAAAAUGCCUGUACUAAAAUCCACUGCCUUUCAGUUGGGCUGAAGAUGUCAAAGUACAUCUAUACGUAGUCCAGUUAAAGUUUUAUGAUUGAACUAACUUGCUCUGAAAUUGCAGCAUUUUUCCUAAGAAAAGUUAAAAGGGUUUUUCCUGCCUUGUAUUGUAGGUAAUAUUUGAAGAAAGAAAGAAGGAAAAAAAUGCCAGACCCAAACUUUGCUCACCUGGGGAUCCUGUGUGGGAUGUAAUCCAGCCCUGCAUCGGGACACACCUUCUGCGCUGCAACCAGCACCAGCUCUGAAGAGCAACUCGAGCAGCCUCAGAGGAGAUGACACACAUUGGGCUUCCAUCUCUGCACCCAUGCAGACGUGUCGCCAUCGUUGCUGUGCAGCCAGCAGGGACAGGACGUGGUGUGGCCGACAGCCUUAGGGAUGAGGAUAUCCAAUUCGGAGUUACCUGUGAUCUGCUGGUAAGCAAACACAGGACCUUAUGAGAUGUUGGUCGUGACGUGCUAUCAUUGAAACCUCUGCAAGAAGCUGAUGCUUCAGGAAUCCUAAGCAUCACCAGUCGAAACAAAUUUUGAACUUGCAAGCUGGGAAGGGAGAAAGCAGUUUCCUUUUGAUCUUACUCCAGGCUGGAAAAGUGAGAAACACCUGCUUCCUGCAGAGGACCUGCUAAGGAACUCCAAAGGAAACUAUGCAUAUAGGGGAAGCACAUGCCAAGUGAAACAGAACCGAGUGGGUCAUCGUUAUGCUGGUCCAGGUUCCAGCGAGCACUCCAUGGGUACAAUGCUAAGUUAAGAGUCUCUGUUGUUGGGGCCACAGAGUGUGAGGAAAGUUCCAAACACUGCAGUCCACUGGACUCUUGGGGUUUUACUGAACAGAGGGGAUAAGUGGUCUCCUCCCAGGGUCAGAUCACAUCAGGAGCCAAGGGGAAGUGAAGGGAGAAAGGGGACCUUCUAUUUCUCCAAAUACAUUCCAAUUGCACAACUGAUUGAUUAAAAAUAUACUCUAAAAUGGAGGGUAAUGCUGAAGAGAUAUUAACGGCUAGGAAAUGAACAAACUGACGGUUUGUGUCACAUAGGUGAUAGUUCCUGUUUCUUACUGAAUGUUUUGAAUAAAUCACAGGCGGAGAGAAAGGAUGCUGGACCAUUUUAAUUCAAAAGAGGAAAGACACAGACAGUACUAUUGUCAGAGCCUUCAUUCAAGUUCAUUGAAGGAGCUGGAAGCAUCACCAAAGGACUUCAAGGAUUACCUGCCUCACUCCUCACCAGCUCCUCACCAGUUGCUGUGAAGAAAAUCUACAUUCUCAAAUGGUUACUUGUCUGCUAUC